UGGGGAAUUUUGCACAAUGGAGGCAACUCUGAUGCAGCGACGCCGCGUGAACGAAGAAGGCUUUCGAGUCGUAAAGUUCUUUUAUAUGGGAAGAUAAUGACGGUACCAUAAGAAAAAGCCCCUGCUAACUACGUGCCAGCAGCCGCGGUAAUACUUAGGGGGCUAGCGUUGUCCGGAAUCACUGGGCGUAAAGGGUUCGCAGGCGGAAAUGCAAGUCAGGUGUAAAAGGCAGUAGCUUAACUACUGUAAGCAUUUGAAACUGCAUAUCUUGAGAAGAGUAGAGGUAAGUGGAAUUUUUAGUGUAGCGGUGAAAUGCGUAGAUAUGAAAAAGAAUACCGGUGGCGAAGGCGACUUACUGGGCUCAUUCUGACGCUGAGGAACGAAAGCGUGGGUAGCAAACAGG
Molecule: ribosomal RNA, 403 nt
Filed under: Fusobacteriota bacterium
Lineage: Bacteria; Fusobacteriati; Fusobacteriota
Description: Fusobacteria bacterium partial 16S ribosomal RNA
Rfam family: Bacterial small subunit ribosomal RNA
Source: RNAcentral